Molecule: unclassified non-coding RNA, 335 nt
Filed under: soil metagenome
Description: partial contains 5.8S ribosomal RNA, internal transcribed spacer 2, and large subunit ribosomal RNA
Rfam family: 5.8S ribosomal RNA (bases 1-120)
Source: RNAcentral
GAUGAAGAACGUAGCGAAAUGCGAUAAGUAGUGUGAAUUGCAGAAUUCAGUGAAUCAUCGAAUCUUUGAACGCACAUUGCGCCCCUUGGUACUCCAUGGGGCAUGCCUGUUCGAGCGUCAUUUACACCCUCAAGCUCAGCUUGGUGUUGGGCGUCUGUCCCGCUUCGUGCGCGGACUCGCCUCAAAUGCAUUGGCAGCGGUCUUGCCAGCUUCUCGCGCAGCACAUUGCGCUUCUAGAGGCUUUGGCGGAUCGGCGUCCAUCAAGUACACCCACAGUUUGACCUCGGAUCAGGUAGGGAUACCCGCUGAACUCAAGCAUAUCAAUAAGCGGAGGA